GACGAACGCUGGCGGCGUGCUUAACACAUGCAAGUCGAGCGGUAAGGCCCUUUCGGGGGUACACGAGCGGCGAACGGGUGAGUAACACGUGGGUGACCUGCCCUUAGCUCUGGGAUAAGCCUGGGAAACUGGGUCUAAUACCGGAUAUGACUCCAUGACGCAUGUUGUGGGGUGAAAGCCUUGUGCGGCUAGGGAUGGGCCCGNGGCCUAUCAGCUUGGUUGGUGGGGUNAUGGCCACCGAAGGCGACGACGGGUAGCCGGCCUGAGAGGGCGACCGGCCACACUGGGACUGAGACACGGCCCAGACUCCUACGGGAGGCAGCAGUGGGGAAUCUUGCGCAAUGGGCGAAAGCCUGACGCAGCGACGCCGCGUGAGGGAUGACGGCCUGGU
Molecule: ribosomal RNA, 391 nt
Filed under: uncultured bacterium
Lineage: Bacteria
Description: bacterial SSU rRNA
Rfam family: Bacterial small subunit ribosomal RNA
Source: RNAcentral